This is a non-coding RNA of Pelobates cultripes (western spadefoot toad), 1040 nucleotides long. The record is from the annotation of a GenBank genome assembly. NCBI's taxonomy places the organism in Eukaryota, Metazoa, Chordata, Amphibia, Anura, Pelobatidae.
AGGGUCCUUUCAAAUUACAUAAAAUUUCCAAAGCAUAUUCACCUAUCUGUUGGAGAUGUCAUAAAACGAUUGGUACAAUAUUACAUAUAUGGUACAAUUGUGAGUUAUUAAAUGACACUAUUAUACGUAUUUCUUUUCUGAUAUCAGACUUAACUCCGCUUACUAUAAUACUCUCACCUUCUCUUUUCCAAUUUAACUUAGAUUUCCUGCUAAUGGAGAAAAAAAAUACAAAUAUCUUAUUACACAGAUUCUGUAUGCCUUCUAUUGCCCGUAAAUGGAAAUCUAACCAUCCUCCAACGUGGCAAGAGAUUUUAAACCAAAUAGAAUACCAAUACUUAAUGGAAUGCAAUUUUGUUUCUUCCUCUGGCAAAUUCAUCUCAUAUCAUGAUCAUGGCUUUCUUGGCUGAUAUAUAGAAACAAAAUUCAAUUAGAUUGAGCUUAAGAAUGGAAUAGAGGGUCUAGUUAAUUGGGCCACUUUCACUGACCCCACAGGCCUAAUAAGUGAUCUCUUGGAUAUAUAUAACCUCUCUAUUUCAUCGAUCGAGCCCCAGUGGAUGUAGUCCUUUUUCUAUGUAAUCCUUUUAUAUGUAUCUAUGUUUCAUUGUUUUGCAUAUAUGCAUAUUGCUGCAAAAUCUGCUAUAUGUUGGAAAAUGAUAUAAAUGAAUUUCUUGCCCAGCUGGAAUUAAGUAUUUGAUUUAUCUGUAUCCUAUAUAUCUCUUUUAUAUUUCGGCAAUGUAGUUGUAUCGGAAAACAUAAAUUGUAGCUGAUAUGUUUUAUUCUAUCAAGCAAGCUUUUCAAUCUCUUAUUACUGCCUUACUGGGGUUAUGCUAACAGCCUUAUUUCUUGCAGCUUUCUUGCGUUUAUUUAAGACUGUAGUUUGAGACAUUGUUUUAACUGUCACAUCCCCUUUAACAAUCAACCUGAGAGGCAUUUGUUAUCCAGCACUUAUUAUCAAAAGCAUACAUCUUCUUCGAGUCUACAAUAAUGUAACCAAUAUUGAACAGCAAAGUUUAAGAUAGAAAAAUUACGUUGAACAUAAC